Molecule: long non-coding RNA, 243 nt
Filed under: Vicia faba (fava bean)
Lineage: Eukaryota; Viridiplantae; Streptophyta; Magnoliopsida; Fabales; Fabaceae
Source: RNAcentral
AUGCUUUCACCAAACUAUGCAUUUGCUGCUUCUUACCAGUCUUUAUCAGCAUACCUUGGCUUCAAUGGAAGGGAACUCGAUGGCCUGGUUAGCACUUUUGUUUCUAUUGAAGAGUUUCCUGAGGCAGAUGAAAAUAUCAGGAUUGGAAAAAUAAUGAUUCCAAUAAAGAUAACCUACUCAAUCAGACGAGACUUUGGGGAAUUUGUCAAGGAUAGCCAAAAUAUUCUAGCAAGUAAUAAAUAG